Arachis ipaensis is the source of this 751-nucleotide non-coding RNA. The record is from RefSeq and is a predicted model, not a curated record. Lineage: Eukaryota; Viridiplantae; Streptophyta; Magnoliopsida; Fabales; Fabaceae.
CGCUGAGACCGCCCUGGCCCUGCUCGGCUUCUUAAUCCCGCAGCACCAUCCGUGUACCACUGUCGCCUUGGGUUGCAUGCAGAUCCUCUGUCUCAGAUCAUUAACGAUUUGGAUUGUAUCCAGACUUUCCUGUCUCCUUACUUGGUGGUUUAGUGCUCCAACUCGCUCGUAAUGUUUCUGCUUCUGCUGCUUUUGCCACUACAUGGGCUAGACAAUUUCCAUUUCUGGGAGUCCAGGUCAUUCCCUUUUCAGCUAUCGCACCUGUUCCAGUAUCCUUUCUGAAGGUUGCAUCAACAUUUGCUUUCAACCAGCUCUUAGGGGGAGUCUCUAUUUCACCAGGUUAGUUUUGCUCCUAUUGGCUUCUGUUUUCUGUGACUGCUAUUUUUCUGCUAGUUUCCAGUAUGUUGCCUCUAGUGCUUUUGCCCUGCUAAUUGUCUAACUAGGGUUUACUUCCUCUUAUUGAAACAACUUACUGUUCCUUGUUUUCCGUAUCUCCCACAUGAGAAAUCCUAACUUGCUAAUUCUCUUCUCCUGGUCCUCUCCACCUCCUGCUCUCACCUUUCUUAUGCAUUCCACUAUCCAGUUUCCAAUUGAACUGACUGUCUUAACUGUUGGAGUCCAUUGACAUUCCGCUCCGAACCAUGUUGCCCUAGCCCAAUCGCAUAGCAGUAAUGCAUGUUCUACUGUCUCUAAAUUUUUUAGGCAUAUUUGACAAACUGGAUCAGGUGCCAUCUUUCUUUUAUGUAAGUUA